Molecule: long non-coding RNA, 662 nt
Filed under: Saimiri boliviensis boliviensis (Bolivian squirrel monkey)
Lineage: Eukaryota; Metazoa; Chordata; Mammalia; Primates; Cebidae
Description: lncRNA (ENSSBOG00000036758.1)
Source: RNAcentral
CGCCAUUACUCUGCCUUACCAUUUGCUGUUGUUCUCUGGGCUUGAGCCCAUUUAACUUUUGGUUAGGCGACCUGUCCUAAUAAAAUGAAGAUGUAUCUCCUCUGGAAGUGCCAAGAACAGCUUGCAGUCUCUGCAGGUCAUACGGAGAUGGAAAUUCCCAACAUCUAAGCACAGGUGGCAUCAUUACAAGAGUGAGUGCCUUCCCAAGAAGUACUGGAGCCAGGUGAAUGCACCGGUCCUGCCUCCCCCGCUUCCCGACUCUGUGCCCGUGAGCCUGGGGUCUCUGUCAGCGACUGGUGGCUCCUUAUUCUACCUGAGGCCAGACUUCACUCCUGGAACUGAGGCUGCAGGUUUUCUCUGGAGGAUCCCAACCCUUGUUCCUCAGCUCCAGCCCUGGGGCAUCAUCUGUGCUCAGGCAGUGGUCCCAGCUAAUGACGUGGUACACCUCGCAAGAAACGGAAGUUCCUGUGACUUCUUCAGCAUCUGAACACACACCACAAGACCAUGGCUACUACCCCAAACCUGCUUUGCCUGGAGCAUCUCAAAGCAGCCGCUGGCCCUUGCAAAGCCUUUCCUGUGUGACAGCUGCGACCAGACACGCUCCCGUGAGCCUGCCUCAGACGUACUCAUUGACUCCUCAGGAUCGUCCCAUGAGAGCUUAG